CUGACCAACGCGGAAGCUUGGAGGGCAAUGGCCGCCUUCAUUGAACACUAUAGGGAGCCGUAGCGCGGACUUGUUAAUUGUUCAUCCCUUAAAAAUGAGGCGUAUGUAUAUCACCUGACAACCACAGAAAUCCAGAAGCAUGAAGUGAAACUUAAAGUUUUGGGCACUCGCGACCCUCCAACAGCAUCUGCUACACUGUUUCAGUCCCUUACACAGCUGAGUCCUAGCCAGAACUUCACGUCAUGAUAUUUACAUAUAUACAAACAAAGAUCCUUCCCUUUACACAGCCUCCUGGAUAAACGCCUAUACAAAUACGGACAGCUAUUUGUAAUUUAGAGCCGGUUGGGUCAAUAACGCUGCAGUUUCAGAGGUGGAGGGUGAUAAAUUCUUCAUAAUCAAAGCAAAGAAUGAAAACAAGGAUGAGGAGGACCAUGAUGAAGAGGACUGUGCGACCCAGCUGUAUUAAAGUUGCGGGACUUUCUGGCUGACUGUGUUUGGGCAACCCUCGUGCAAUCCACCACCAUGAGUCGUACCAGGCUUGAUCUCCGCCACAAUACACACAUCAUCUGUUAAACACACCAGGAAUAUUCGAGGUACACAACAGCAGGCGUCAAGCUGCAGACAAGUCAUACAUCUUCUCUGUUUUCUUUGGAGGAAGUGGUGGGGCAGAAUCUUUGUGUUGAUAUUCAUGUACUGUAUAUGUUCAGUGUGUGUGUUCAAGCAUGUUUUCCCCUGCAUCUGACUGUUAGUAGUGAUGUAACCAACAACAUGCUGAUGUCUCUGUGAGUCUGCAAACAGUCAUCACCAGGCCUCAAACAAAAGGACUCCUUGGCUUGUGCGUAAAAAUGAUCACUUCAAGGAGAGAGGACCUGGAUCUUAUCAUUCAGUGGUUUAACACUAGCCAGACCGCCGCUUGCUCACUCCAGGGCAGCAAAUUAGGAGUGGGGAGCUGCCGACUGAGCUUGUGACAGGGACGUGAUGGAGAGCAGGCCGGCUGGGCGGCUUCACAGCUCGCAUGGGCCGAGAUAGGAGAGGAAUGCUUUCCGUCUAUAGCCAGGAAAAGUGGUGCAGGAGUGGUAGCUCUUGUGGAUGAUUUUGUUUCACUUCUUGAACCUUUAAAGAUUCUAUGCAUGUGCAAGUAAACAGUUUGAACAGUGGGAUACUUCAUUAAUAUGGGAUACUCAUGUGGCGGCCAUCUGUUGCAUUAGUGUGGAUGUUAGAAUGGAUAGAAACCAGGAUAAAUUGACAAAUCUGGCACAUACAUUUGUGAAACCACACAACCAUACAUUGAAGAGCUAUUUUAGUUUGGUGCAUGGAAGCUGUUUUAAAAUGUUACAUGGAUAAAGAUUUAAUGUGUGUUUUGUAUUAACCUCCGACAGUAACAGAUUUACUUUUAUUGAAUGAAUCCUCUUUAGUCAUAUAUCUUUGUUAGAUAGUUGUCUUUAGGCGUUUUUCGACCGGAGGAACUUUACCCCGGAACUAGGGUCU
Notolabrus celidotus (New Zealand spotty) is the source of this 1488-nucleotide long non-coding RNA. RefSeq lists it as uncharacterized. The record is from RefSeq and is a predicted model, not a curated record. The transcript is spliced from 3 exons. NCBI's taxonomy places the organism in Eukaryota, Metazoa, Chordata, Actinopteri, Labriformes, Labridae.